AGCGCAGGCGGUUUUUUAAGUCUGAUGUGAAAGCCUUCGGCUCAACCGAAGAAGUGCAUCGGAAACUGGGAAACUUGAGUGCAGAAGAGGACAGUGGAACUCCAUGUGUAGCGGUGAAAUGCGUAGAUAUAUGGAAGAACACCAGUGGCGAAGGCGGCUGUCUGGUCUGUAACUGACGCUGAGGCUCGAAAGUAUGGUAGCAAACA
Molecule: ribosomal RNA, 206 nt
Filed under: uncultured bacterium
Lineage: Bacteria
Description: partial 16S ribosomal RNA
Rfam family: Bacterial small subunit ribosomal RNA
Source: RNAcentral